This 433-nucleotide ribosomal RNA is filed under the name uncultured bacterium. RNAcentral describes it as "partial 16S ribosomal RNA". It matches the Rfam family "Bacterial small subunit ribosomal RNA", at positions 29 to 507 of the family's 1533-position model. The record is from RNAcentral.
AACGAACGCUGGCGGCAGGCCUAACACAUGCAAGUCGAGCGAGGACUUCGGUCCUAGCGGCGGACGGGGGAGUAACGCGUGGGAACGUUCCCUUUGCUUCGGAAUAGCCCUGGGAAACUGGGAGUAAUACCGGAUGAGCCCUUUGGGGGAAAGAUUUAUCGGCGAAGGAUCGGCCCGCGUUGGAUUAGGUAGUUGGUGGGGUAAUGGCCUACCAAGCCGACGAUCCAUAGCUGGUUUGAGAGGAUGAUCAGCCACACUGGGACUGAGACACGGCCCAGACUCCUACGGGAGGCAGCAGUGGGGAAUCUUAGACAAUGGGGGAAACCCUGAUCUAGCCAUGCCGCGUGAGCGAUGAAGGCCUUAGGGUUGUAAAGCUCUUUCAGCUGGGAAGAUAAUGACGGUACCAGCAGAAGAAGCCCCGGCUAACUCCGUG